This 660-nucleotide ribosomal RNA is filed under the name Delftia sp. AR-341. RNAcentral describes it as "bacterial SSU rRNA". It matches the Rfam family "Bacterial small subunit ribosomal RNA", at positions 95 to 751 of the family's 1533-position model. The record is from RNAcentral. Lineage: Bacteria; Pseudomonadati; Pseudomonadota; Betaproteobacteria; Burkholderiales; Comamonadaceae.
GUGGCGAACGGGUGAGUAAUACAUCGGAACGUGCCCAGUCGUGGGGGAUAACUACUCGAAAGAGUAGCUAAUACCGCAUACGAUCUGAGGAUGAAAGCGGGGGACCUUCGGGCCUCGCGCGAUUGGAGCGGCCGAUGGCAGAUUAGGUAGUUGGUGGGAUAAAAGCUUACCAAGCCGACGAUCUGUAGCUGGUCUGAGAGGACGACCAGCCACACUGGGACUGAGACACGGCCCAGACUCCUACGGGAGGCAGCAGUGGGGAAUUUUGGACAAUGGGCGAAAGCCUGAUCCAGCAAUGCCGCGUGCAGGAUGAAGGCCUUCGGGUUGUAAACUGCUUUUGUACGGAACGAAAAAGCUUCUCCUAAUACGAGAGGCCCAUGACGGUACCGUAAGAAUAAGCACCGGCUAACUACGUGCCAGCAGCCGCGGUAAUACGUAGGGUGCGAGCGUUAAUCGGAAUUACUGGGCGUAAAGCGUGCGCAGGCGGUUAUGUAAGACAGAUGUGAAAUCCCCGGGCUCAACCUGGGAACUGCAUUUGUGACUGCAUGGCUAGAGUACGGUAGAGGGGGAUGGAAUUCCGCGUGUAGCAGUGAAAUGCGUAGAUAUGCGGAGGAACACCGAUGGCGAAGGCAAUCCCCUGGACCUGUACUGACGCUCAUG